RNAcentral lists this ribosomal RNA (478 nucleotides) under uncultured bacterium. Its description in RNAcentral is "partial 16S ribosomal RNA". It matches the Rfam family "Bacterial small subunit ribosomal RNA", at positions 28 to 507 of the family's 1533-position model. The record is from RNAcentral.
GAUGAACGCUGGCGGCGUGCUUAACACAUGCAAGUCGAACGAGAAGUGAAGACGGAAACCUUCGGGCGGAAGGCUUUAUUUCGAGUGGCGGACGGGUGAGUAACGCGUGGGUAACCUGCCUCAUACAGGAGGAUAACAGUUGGAAACGACUGUUAAUACCGCAUAAGACCACAGCACCGCAUGGUGCGGGGGUAAAAACUCCGGUGGUAUGAGAUGGACCCGCGUUCGAUUAGCCAGUUGGCGGGGUAACGGCCCACCAAAGCGACGAUCGAUAGCCGAUCUGAGAGGAUGACCGGCCACAUUGGGACUGAGACACGGCCCAAACUCCUACGGGAGGCAGCAGUGGGGAAUAUUGCACAAUGGGGGAAACCCUGAUGCAGCGACGCCGCGUGAGUGAAGAAGUAUUUCGGUAUGUAAAGCUCUAUCAGCAGGGAAGAAAAUGACGGUACCUGAGUAAGAAGCCCCGGCUAACUACGUG